This is an RNA transcript of Vicia villosa (hairy vetch), 1848 nucleotides long. It is a transcript of the gene named ATP synthase subunit gamma, mitochondrial-like, with no coding region annotated. The record is from RefSeq and is a predicted model, not a curated record. Lineage: Eukaryota; Viridiplantae; Streptophyta; Magnoliopsida; Fabales; Fabaceae. The transcript has 7 exons.
ACCCUAGCCUCCUUUCCAACCCAAAAAUUAUUUCGUUUUUCUUCUUUUCUUCUGCCGAAACAAACCAAAUGACCCUGCGACCUCCUCCCUUUUGACCCUCCCUUCUCCGACAACACUCCCUUCUGAUGUCUUCCCAACCAAUCAACAACACUCUCCGAUCCACUCUAAUCUCUUCGUUAGAGCAAACUUCAAUUGAAGGAGCUCGUUCAAUUUCCACUCAAAUUGUGAGAAAUCGGAUGAAGAGUGCGAAGAAUAUCCAGAAAAUCACUAAGGCUAUGAAGAUGGUUGCUGCAGCCAAACUACGAGCUGUUCAAAAUAGGGCUGAAAAUUCACGUGGUUUGUGGCAGGCGUUUACGGCUCUUCUCGGUGAUGCUAUCGCACAACUAUUGAUGUCAAGAAGAAUGUUAUUGAUGUUUCUUCAGGCAAAUGUCUUUGUGGUGGAAUCAACUCUACCUCUGUAAAGAUAAGCAAAGUGUUGAGCAAGUUGAAUUCUGGGAUGUUUCUGGAUUCAAACAACAACCUGCAACUUGCAGCUUCAUUUCCUCACAAUAACACUACCGUACCUUCCACCUUUCAAAAUUCGGAAUAAUAUUGUGUGUUUGUUUCUGUUUGCAGAGAAAGAAUUUUUGUGUUGCUGUUUAUUCUCUUGCAAGUACCACAUUAUUUCGUUCUAAUAUAAAGAAUGGCAUAUUAGAGUAGAGAAGGUGGAUCCGCCGCUAAAGCCAAAUCGCAACCAUGAGCUAUUGUCAAAGGCACGUUGCUCCGGCCAUCAUGAUUAUCACCGCGAGCACAACCUCUCAACGUGUUGCUGUUUCAAAAAUUUGUAGGAGUUAUAUGGAAUUUUUUUUAAUAUGAAAUUUGUAGGCUCGAGAUACCCCCACAUUUAAGGAAAAAAGUCGAAAGGGUAGUGAAAAUGUGGCUAGGAAUGUAUACCCACAUGUAUUAUCUCGUGGAGGGUAUCGCUUGCUCGAGGAGACAAUUAAAAAUGAAAGGAUAUCAUCAAGAGAUGUAGCUACAUUAGAUGAUACAAGAAGAUUUGUAUGAUUUGCGAUUCCGUUGGGCAAAAUAUUUCUUUGAGUUAUAUAAAGAAUAGCUUUAUGUUUCUCGUGGAUGCGUGUUGGUUUUUCAAGUGCGCGAAAGGAUUUAAAUGGUUGGAUAUUUAUUAUGUUAUUAUUUUGUAGUAGUAAACCGUGCGUAAACCUUUCUUAUCAUUUUGUGCACUCGUGUAUCCUAGAUUAAUACUUUUGUAUAUUUUGACGAACAUAUAUAUGCAUCUUAGCUAUUUGGUGCAAUUAAAUGUGGUCUGAUGUACAAACUGAUGUAAACACUAUCUAUUACAUCAGGCCAAGGUGAAAACUGAUGUAAAAUGUGGCGUAUAUUUUUUUUUAAAAAAAUUGCAUUAUUUUUCACAUCAGACCUAUGAACUCAACCGAUGUGGUAUGAUAAUUUUCACAUCGGGCCUUGGCCCGAUGUAAAAUGUCUCAGACUUAUUACAUCGCCUGGCUUUACAUCGGGCCCAAAACUGAUGUAAAAAGUACUUUUCGCCCGAUGUAAAAAGUACUUUCUGCACUAGUGUAAUUAAUUAAUGAGGUUAUUAAUCGAUUAAGUGACAUUGAAAAUCAAAUGUUCCUAUUUUGGCUUUGACUAAUUGAUUAAUUACAUGUUUUACUAGAUUAAAAGCUCGAAAAUGCCCAUGGAUUAUUACCUUUUUUAGCUUGAUUUUUUUCUAUAUAAAGGAGAAUUCUCCUCAUUUCAAAAUACACUAAUUUUCUAAAUAGAAAUUCUAUGCUAUCUUUCUAUCUCUCAUUCUUUUAUAAAGUUCCUUUUCACUAUAGUUACCUUAAUUCC